AAAAUAAUCCUACCCUUUGUGAAUUUUGUUUGUUUGAAUAAUUUUUUUUUUUUAAAAAAUUAUUGGAGUCUUUCCCUUUAGAGUUUGCUUUUGAGUUUGUAAAAGAAUUCGAAAAUAUCUAAAGGGGAUGGUCAAUAAUUUUUUUUGAAAAAAGACAUUUUUUAAAAUUAAACUUUUUGUAUUCAUUUGUCUAAAAAUUAUUUUUAUAAUAUAAAAACAACUUUUGACAAUGGAUCUCUUGGUUCUCGCAACGAUGAAGAACGCAGCAAAAUGCGAUAAGUAGUGUGAAUUGCAGAAUACGUGAAUCAUCGAAUCUUUGAACGCAUAUUGCACUUUUUUAGUUUACUAAAAAAGUAUGUCUGUUUGAGUAUCAGUAAAAUAUUCUCAUAAAAAUCAUUGUGUAUUUUUAUGGUUAUGAGUGUUUUACAACGAUACAAGUUGUUUCACUUUAAAUUUUUUUUUAAUAUUGAAAUUUUUCUAAUUUUAAUAAUUAAAAUUGGAUAAAAUUUUCCCGUCAAAAGGAAUAACCUAAACAAUUUUAAACGAUUAAUUUUAGCAAAAUUUUCGUAAAAAAAGGAAAAUUUUUAUUAAAAUAACUUGAUCUCAAAUCAGAUAAGAGUACCCGCUGAACUUAAGCAUAUCAAUAAGCGGAGGAAAAGAAACUAACAAGGAUUCCCUUAGUAACGGCGAGUGAAGCGGGAAGAGCUCAAAUUUGAAAUCUUCAAGGUUUUACCUUGACGAAUUGUAGUUUAAAGAAGUGUUUUCUGCUGAAGUUUUGGUAAAAGUUCUUUGGAAUAGGACAUCAUAGAGGGUGAGAAUCCCGUAUUUGACCAUUAUUUUCAGCUUUGUGAUACACUUUCAAAGAGUCGGAUUGUUUGGGAAUGCAGUCCAAAAUGGGUGGUAAAUUUCAUCUAAAGCUAAAUAUUGGCGAGAGACCGAUAGCGAACAAGUACCGUGAGGGAAAGAUGAAAAGAACUUUGAAAAGAGAGUUAAACAGUACGUGAAAUUGUCAAAAGGGAAGCGUUUGACACCAGUGUUGUUUUCUCGAAAAUCAAUUAAAAUGGCUCGAUUUUGUAUUGCUGAGACCUUAAAAGCUCACUGUACAUUUUUCGUGUCUUUUUUAAUGCACGUUUUCGUUUAACAAGUCAACAUCAGUUCUUUUGUUGUAAAAGGGUCAUUGGAAGGUGGCUUUCUUUUCGGAGAAAGUGUUUAUAGCCUUUGGCCUCUGCAAUCGAAGAGACUGAGGUCUGCAGCGUAGACUCUUCGGGGUUAGAUACAUUUGUGCUAAGUUAUAGCUUUUUAUAGACAACUUGUUGACUAUAAUUAGUCUUGUAGCUUACUCGCUAUGCUAUUUUACCUACGCUUAGGAUG
This 1371-nucleotide unclassified non-coding RNA is filed under the name uncultured Neocallimastigales. RNAcentral's name for it is "partial contains internal transcribed spacer 1, 5.8S ribosomal RNA, internal transcribed spacer 2, and large subunit ribosomal RNA". The stretch from base 599 to 1371 matches the Rfam family "Eukaryotic large subunit ribosomal RNA", at positions 1 to 634 of the family's 3401-position model. Lineage: Eukaryota; Fungi; Neocallimastigomycota; Neocallimastigomycetes; Neocallimastigales. The record is from RNAcentral.